GAUGAACGCUAGCGACAGGCUUAACACAUGCAAGUCGAGGGACCGGCGCACGGGUGCGUAAUGCGUAUGCAACUUGCCUCACAGAGGGGGAUAACCCGUCGAAAGACGGACUAAUACCGCGUACUGUGAGAUCGGCAUGAGUUCCAUUAGCUUGUGGGUAAGGUAACGGCUGACCAAGGCAACGAUGGGUAGGGGAACUGAGAGGUUGAACCCCGACACUGAGACUGAGACACGGACCAGACGGCUACGGGAGGCAGCAGGGAGGAAUAUUGGUCAAUAGGCGAGAGCCUGAACCAGCCAAGUCGCGUGAAGGAUGACGGUCUAUGGAUUGUAAACUUCUUUUGUAGGGGAAUAUGUACCCUACGAAUAAGCAUCGGCUAACUCCGGGCCAGCCGCCGCGUAAUUC
This 406-nucleotide ribosomal RNA is filed under the name uncultured bacterium. RNAcentral's name for it is "partial 16S ribosomal RNA". It matches the Rfam family "Bacterial small subunit ribosomal RNA", at positions 28 to 526 of the family's 1533-position model. The record is from RNAcentral.